RNAcentral lists this ribosomal RNA (440 nucleotides) under uncultured bacterium. RNAcentral's name for it is "partial 16S ribosomal RNA". It matches the Rfam family "Bacterial small subunit ribosomal RNA", at positions 338 to 795 of the family's 1533-position model. The record is from RNAcentral.
CCUACGGGAGGCAGCAGUGGGGAAUAUUGCACAAUGGGGGAAACCCUGAUGCAGCGAAGCCGCGUGAGUGAAGAAGUAUCUCGGUAUGUAAAGCCCUAUCAGCAGGGAAGAAAAUGACGGUACCCGCUUAAGAAGCCCAGUCUAACUACGUGCAAGCAGCCGCGGUUCUACGUAGGGGGCAAGCGUUAUACGGAUUACCUGGGUGUAACGGGCGCGUAGACGGGGAUGAAAGUCAGAAGUGAAAGCCCGGGGCGCAACUCCGGGACUGCUUUUGAAACUGUGUAACUGGAGUGCAGGAGAGGUAUGCGGAAUUCCUGGUGUAGCGGUGAAAUGCGUAGAUAUCAGGAGGAACACCAGUUGCGAAGGCGGCUUACUGGACCGUAACUGACGUUGAGGCUCGAAAGCGUGGGGAGCAAACAGGAUUAGAUACCCCAGUAGUC